Molecule: small nucleolar RNA, 133 nt
Filed under: Jaculus jaculus (lesser Egyptian jerboa)
Lineage: Eukaryota; Metazoa; Chordata; Mammalia; Rodentia; Dipodidae
Description: Small nucleolar RNA SNORA71 (ENSJJAG00000002579.1)
Source: RNAcentral
GCCUGGGCUGCAGUUAGAUCCUACCUCAAAAACAAGACAACAACAACUUACUCCAGGGAGAGGAGGCUGAAAGCAUUUCCCGGUGUUUGGAAGGUCUACUCCUGUCUGUGCCAGACUCUGGUGUUUUCAUACA